CCUGCCCAGCAGAGAGACCCGUGAAC
RNAcentral lists this ribosomal RNA (26 nucleotides) under Ficus abelii. RNAcentral's name for it is "partial 18S ribosomal RNA". The record is from RNAcentral. Lineage: Eukaryota; Viridiplantae; Streptophyta; Magnoliopsida; Rosales; Moraceae.